GUCUAUGGCCAUACCACCCUGAACGCGCCCGAUCUCGUCUGAUCUCGGAAGAUAAGCAGGGUCGGGCCUGGUUAGUACUUGGAUGGGAAACCACCACCUACAUUUCCACUCUUGUCUCAGGCAACCACUAUGGCCU
Molecule: ribosomal RNA, 136 nt
Organism: Cavia aperea (Brazilian guinea pig)
Lineage: Eukaryota; Metazoa; Chordata; Mammalia; Rodentia; Caviidae
Source: Ensembl